ACGGUUAGCGGAUGCAUUGACGGUUACACGGCACGCUUGCCCCUUACCAGGUCUUGACAUCCUCUGAAAACCCUAGAGAUAGGGCUUCUCCUUCGGGAGCAGAGUGACAGGUGGUGCAUGGUUGUCGUCAGCUCGUGUCGUGAGAUGUUGGGUUAAGUCCCGCAACGAGCGCAACCCUUGAUCUUAGUUGCCAUCAUUAAGUUGGGCACUCUAAGGUGACUGCCGGUGACAAACCGGAGGAAGGUGGGGAUGACGUCAAAUCAUCAUGCCCCUUAUGACCUGGGCUACACACGUGCUACAAUGGACGGUACAAAGAGCUGCAAGACCGCGAGGUGGAGCUAAUCUCAUAAAACCGUUCUCAGUUCGGAUUGUAGGCUGCAACUCGCCUACAUGAAGCUGGAAUCGCUAGUAAUCGCGGAUCAGCAUGCCGCGGUGAAUACGUUCCCGGGCCUUGUACACACCCGCCCGUACACACAAAUUAUUUGCCCCUACACACUGCGCGUAUACGCCGCAAACGUAUGCCGGUAUACACCUGAUGAGUUUACGGGCAUUCGUUCAGGCGUAUA
This 566-nucleotide ribosomal RNA is filed under the name Bacillus sp. ZS-42. RNAcentral describes it as "bacterial SSU rRNA". The stretch from base 1 to 458 matches the Rfam family "Bacterial small subunit ribosomal RNA", at positions 948 to 1387 of the family's 1533-position model. The record is from RNAcentral. Lineage: Bacteria; Bacillati; Bacillota; Bacilli; Caryophanales; Bacillaceae.